RNAcentral lists this ribosomal RNA (518 nucleotides) under Staphylococcus aureus. RNAcentral's name for it is "bacterial SSU rRNA". It matches the Rfam family "Bacterial small subunit ribosomal RNA", at positions 344 to 853 of the family's 1533-position model. Lineage: Bacteria; Bacillati; Bacillota; Bacilli; Caryophanales; Staphylococcaceae. The record is from RNAcentral.
GGAGGCAGCAGUAGGGAAUCUUCCGCAAUGGGCGAAAGCCUGACGGAGCAACGCCGCGUGAGUGAUGAAGGUCUUCGGAUCGUAAAACUCUGUUAUUAGGGAAGAACAUAUGUGUAAGUAACUGUGCACAUCUUGACGGUACCUAAUCAGAAAGCCACGGCUAACUACGUGCCAGCAGCCGCGGUAAUACGUAGGUGGCAAGCGUUAUCCGGAAUUAUUGGGCGUAAAGCGCGCGUAGGCGGUUUUUUAAGUCUGAUGUGAAAGCCCACGGCUCAACCGUGGAGGGUCAUUGGAAACUGGAAAACUUGAGUGCAGAAGAGGAAAGUGGAAUUCCAUGUGUAGCGGUGAAAUGCGCAGAGAUAUGGAGGAACACCAGUGGCGAAGGCGACUUUCUGGUCUGUAACUGACGCUGAUGUGCGAAAGCGUGGGGAUCAAACAGGAUUAGAUACCCUGGUAGUCCACGCCGUAAACGAUGAGUGCUAAGUGUUAGGGGGUUUCCGCCCCUUAGUGCUGCAGCU